This 486-nucleotide ribosomal RNA is filed under the name uncultured bacterium. Its description in RNAcentral is "partial 16S ribosomal RNA". It matches the Rfam family "Bacterial small subunit ribosomal RNA", at positions 30 to 507 of the family's 1533-position model. The record is from RNAcentral.
AUUGAACGCUGGCGGCAUGCCUUACACAUGCAAGUCGAACGGCAGCACGGGUGCUUGCACCUGGUGGCGAGUGGCGAACGGGUGAGUAAUACAUCGGAACAUGUCCUGUAGUGGGGGAUAGCCCGGCGAAAGCCGGAUUAAUACCGCAUACGAUCCACGGAUGAAAGCGGGGGACCUUCGGGCCUCGCGCUAUAGGGUUGGCCGAUGGCUGAUUAGCUAGUUGGUGGGGUAAAGGCCUACCAAGGCGACGAUCAGUAGCUGGUCUGAGAGGACGACCAGCCACACUGGGACUGAGACACGGCCCAGACUCCUACGGGAGGCAGCAGUGGGGAAUUUUGGACAAUGGGCGAAAGCCUUAUCCAGCAAUGCCGCGUGUGUGAAGAAGGCCUUCGGGUUGUAAAGCACUUUUGUCCGGAAAGAAAUCCUUGGCUCUAAUACAGUCGGGGGAUGACGGUACCGGAAGAAUAAGCACCGGCUAACUACGUG